This 1160-nucleotide long non-coding RNA is filed under the name Olea europaea subsp. europaea. Lineage: Eukaryota; Viridiplantae; Streptophyta; Magnoliopsida; Lamiales; Oleaceae. The record is from RNAcentral.
AUUGAAUAGUCAAAUUUCAUGGAAUAAAAUGUUUAUAAAACAAUUUUCCAAAAUGGCAAACCAAACGUAAUUUUCUAAUUUUUCUGUUUUGAGAAUUAUUUUUUUUUAAAUGAUUAAACAAAAAGAAUUUUUAGCAAUUUUAAAACAGGCCCACAAAGCAAAAAAAUUGAAAAUAACUUCAAAAUUCAAAUCUAAAAACCAAAACACAAACCAAACAGCCCUAAUAUUUCCUUUAUUUCAAUUUUCUACUAAUCAAUUGUCAAAAGAAUAAUACUAAUUGCACAUACCUUUUAUACACUUUUUUGUACAAAAAUCAUGGUUUGGGUGGUCGAGGGACUCCAACAGAUAAAUUUUGCAAUAGGAGAAAAUUUCUCCCCUGUUUGUGAUCAUGCGUGCAAGGCCAAUUUCCAAACAUGAGCCAUAAUGGCUCGAGUCAUGCUCACCAUGGCCCAGUGUCAACCCCAUCAUACAUGUGUGGUUUAGCUUUCUCCUAUUCCACUAUCUCAUUGAAGAACCUAGAAUUCCAAAUUGGAACAGGUGCGUAAGUUUGUUGGAAUGUCAAGAAAAAACCUACUUCAAAGGAGAGAACAUUGAUAUGGGAAGUCGCGGAAUACUGGGUUAUGUCUGUAGCCACUAGGAAGGUGAUUUGGUUAAACAAACUUCUAUUCGAUCUUUGCAUUUAUUUCAUCGUUGCAAUGCCUUUUCAUUGUGAUAAUAACAACAAACACACACACACACACACACACACACACACACACACACACACACACAUUCACAAAGGCAAUUUCAACAUCUUCUCAAAAAUUCACCACACUUCAACAAAUUUUCUCCAUAAAUCACUUGACCAUUUAAGUUCCAACAUAAUUAUACAUCAUAUAAAACUAGUUUUAGAAACAUUAAAUUUCAAGAAAUCCAAGGGUCUAAACUUUGAAGAUUUUCAAUUUUUGAUACUUUUCUUGAUUUCUUCCACUUGAUUGAAAAAAUUUCAUAUGUUUGAUGGAGAACGGGAUUAGUUGUAAUGGAGGCUAUGUAUUAGUUGAAAACGUUGGUAUUAAACACAUAUAUGUCAAUUUUUUUUGUCCCUACAUAAAAUCAUGCCCAUUACAUGCUCCAAAAGAAAAAGGGGUAAUUAUAUUACCACUACAAAAUUUAGUAGUUAC